This 495-nucleotide ribosomal RNA is filed under the name uncultured bacterium. RNAcentral describes it as "partial 16S ribosomal RNA". It matches the Rfam family "Bacterial small subunit ribosomal RNA", at positions 28 to 507 of the family's 1533-position model. The record is from RNAcentral.
GACGAACGCUGGCGGCGUGCCUAAUACAUGCAAGUAGAACGCAGAAGGAGGAGCUUGCUCUUCUGGAUGAGUUGCGAACGGGUGAGUAACGCGUAGGUAACCUGCCGGGUAGCGGGGGAGAACUAUUGGAAACGAUAGCUAAUACCGCAUAACAGUAGAUGUUGCAUGACAUUUACUUAAAAGGUGCAAUUGCAUCACUACCAGAUGGACCUGCGUUGUAUUAGCUAGUUGGUGGGGUAACGGCCCACCAAGGCGACGAUAGAUAAUCGACCUGGGAGGGGGAAUGGCCACACUGGGACUGGAGCAAGGCCCAGACCCCCAAGGGAGGCAGCAGUAGGGGAACCUCGGAAAUGGACGGAAGGCUGAACGGGGAACGCCGGGGGAGUGAAGGAGGUUUUCGGAUCGUAAAGCUCUGUUGUAAGGGAAGAACGAGUGUGAGAGUGGAAAGUUCACACUGUGACGGUAUCUUACCAGAAGGGGACGGCUAACUACGUG